RNAcentral lists this ribosomal RNA (501 nucleotides) under uncultured bacterium. RNAcentral's name for it is "partial 16S ribosomal RNA". It matches the Rfam family "Bacterial small subunit ribosomal RNA", at positions 30 to 523 of the family's 1533-position model. The record is from RNAcentral.
AUUGAACGCUGGCGGCAUGCCUUACACAUGCAAGUCGAACGGCAGCACGGGUGCUUGCACCUGGUGGCGAGUGGCGAACGGGUGAGUAAUAUAUCGGAACGUACCUUAUUGUGGGGGAUAACGCAGCGAAAGCUGUGCUAAUACCGCAUAACCCCUAAGGGGGAAAGCGGGGGACCGUAAGGCCUCGCGCAAUUAGAGCGGCCGAUACCUGAUUAGCUAGUUGGUGAGGUAAAGGCUCACCAAGGCAACGAUCAGUAGCUGGUCUGAGAGGACGAUCAGCCACACUGGGACUGAGACACGGCCCAGACUCCUACGGGAGGCAGCAGUGGGGAAUUUUGGACAAUGGGGGCAACCCUGAUCCAGCAAUGCCGCGUGAGUGAAGAAGGCCUUCGGGUUGUAAAGCUCUUUUGUCAGGGAAGAAACAGCAGCUCUAACACAGUAUGCGAAUGACGGUACCUGAAGAAUAAGCACCGGCUAACUACGUGCCAGCAGCCGCAGUAA